RNAcentral lists this ribosomal RNA (468 nucleotides) under uncultured bacterium. RNAcentral describes it as "partial 16S ribosomal RNA". It matches the Rfam family "Bacterial small subunit ribosomal RNA", at positions 28 to 507 of the family's 1533-position model. The record is from RNAcentral.
GACGAACGCUGGCGGCGUGCUUAACACAUGCAAGUCGAACGGAAAGGCCCUGCUUUUGUGGGGUGCUCGAGUGGCGAACGGGUGAGUAACACGUGAGUAACCUGCCCUUGACUUUGGGAUAACUUCAGGAAACUGGGGCUAAUACCGGAUAGGAGCUCCUGCUGCAUGGUGGGGGUUGGAAAGUUUCGGCGGUUGGGGAUGGACUCGCGGCUUAUCAGCUUGUUGGUGGGGUAGUGGCUUACCAAGGCGUUGACGGGUAGCCGGCCUGAGAGGGUGACCGGCGACAUUGGGACUGAGGUACGGCCCAGACGCCUACGGGAGGCAGCAGUGGGGAAUAUUGCACAAUGGGCGGAGGCCUGAUGAAGCAACGCCGCGUGCGGGAUAACGGCCUUGGGGUUAUAAACCGCUUUCGCCUGUAACGAAGCGUGAGUGACGGUAAUGGGUAAAGAAGCACCGGCUAACUACGUG